ACGCUUGAAGUCAGUCGCGUUGGCUAGAAAUCAGCCUUGCUCUUGCUUGGUGUACUUUCUGGUUGACGGGUCAGCAUCAAUUUUGACCAUCGGACAAAGCCAUUGGGAAUGUGGCAUCUUAGGAUGUGUUAUAGCCCGGUGUCGCAUACGGUGGUUGGGAUUGAGGAACUCAGCACGCCUGCAAAGGCCGGGUUUCGACCACGUUCGUGCUUAGGAUGCUGGCGUAAUGGCUUUAAUCGACCCGUCUUGAAACACGGACCAAGGAGUC
RNAcentral lists this ribosomal RNA (268 nucleotides) under Inocybe sp. PBM2633. RNAcentral's name for it is "partial large subunit ribosomal RNA". Lineage: Eukaryota; Fungi; Basidiomycota; Agaricomycetes; Agaricales; Inocybaceae. The record is from RNAcentral.